UAAUAACAGAAGGCCUUCAGUGCUCAGUU
RNAcentral lists this non-coding RNA (29 nucleotides) under Mus musculus (house mouse). The record is from RNAcentral. Lineage: Eukaryota; Metazoa; Chordata; Mammalia; Rodentia; Muridae.